Long non-coding RNA from Chiloscyllium plagiosum (whitespotted bambooshark), 496 nucleotides. RefSeq lists it as uncharacterized. NCBI's taxonomy places the organism in Eukaryota, Metazoa, Chordata, Chondrichthyes, Orectolobiformes, Hemiscylliidae. The record is from RefSeq and is a predicted model, not a curated record.
UGGCGGGAGCGGGCCAUCUCGGGGUUUUCCUUUCAGGCUUGAAAAGAUCGGACGCGCCAGUUGUUUGACGGCGGCAACUUGCAGCAAUUCCAACCCACUUGCCAGCCUUCGUGGACAGUCUGCACAACUUAAUAAUGUUGAAUUACAACUAUUUUUAGCAUAGGAGCUUCUUGUGGCGCAGUGGUGGAUUCUCAAAUCCCACCUGUUCUGGAGAUAUAAUGCUGCUAAUUCUCACUGCUGAAUGGUUCCAGCAUUUUCCACAUUAUAUUAAUUCUGGUUAAUCAGAUAGAGGCGGAGGCCUCUACAAAUAGACACAGAUUGAAACUGUAUUCGUCAUGAAAGUUGCCCACCCUCCACCUCCCUCUCCCACCCCGCCACCACCAGAACAACAUUCUCCUGCGUGAACCCAUAAACCAGGAACUGUCUCUAUGGAACAGACAAAAGUGAUGGAGGCAUCACGAAUGAAGUCAAUGCAUUGGCCACAUCAGAAUGCGCA